This 262-nucleotide ribosomal RNA is filed under the name uncultured bacterium. RNAcentral's name for it is "partial 16S ribosomal RNA". It matches the Rfam family "Bacterial small subunit ribosomal RNA", at positions 793 to 1055 of the family's 1533-position model. The record is from RNAcentral.
GUCCACGCCCUAAACGAUGUCAACUGGUUGUUGGGGAAUUGAUUUCCUUAGUAACGAAGCUAACGCGUGAAGUUGACCGCCUGGGGAGUACGGUCGCAAGAUUAAAACUCAAAGGAAUUGACGGGGCCCGCACAAGCGGUGGAUGAUGUGGUUUAAUUCGAUGCAACGCGAAACCUUACCUACCCUUGACAUGUCGCAAAGCCUGCUGAAAGGUGGGUGUGCCCGAAAGGGAAUGCGAACACAGGUGCUGCAUGGCUGUCGU